GACGAACGCUGGCGGCGUGCUUAACACAUGCAAGUCGAACGGUGAAGCGCCUUCCUUUUUGGUGGGUGUGGAUGAGUGGCGAACGGGUGAGUAACACGUGAGUAACCUGCCCCCUUCUUCUGGAUAACCGCAUGAAAGUGUGGCUAAUACGGGAUAUUCUGGGUCUGUCGCAUGAUGGGUCUGGGAAAGAUAUUGUUUCGGUUGUGGAUGGGCUCGCGGCCUAUCAGCUUGUUGGUGGGGUGAUGGCCUACCAAGGCGGUGACGGGUAGCCGGCCUGAGAGGGUGGGCGGCACCAGAGGGACGGCGAGACCGAGCAGACUACUAGGGGCGGCAGCAGGGGAGAUUAUUGAACGAUGGGAGGAAGGAUGGUGCAGCGACGCGGCGGGAGGGAUGGAGGCCUUAGGGUUGUGAACCUCUUUCGCGAGUGAAGCAGGCCUGCAUCGUGUGUGGGUGGGUUGACGGUAGCUGGACAAGAAGCGACGGCUAACUACGUG
This 494-nucleotide ribosomal RNA is filed under the name uncultured bacterium. RNAcentral describes it as "partial 16S ribosomal RNA". It matches the Rfam family "Bacterial small subunit ribosomal RNA", at positions 28 to 507 of the family's 1533-position model. The record is from RNAcentral.